Molecule: ribosomal RNA, 253 nt
Filed under: uncultured bacterium
Lineage: Bacteria
Description: partial 16S ribosomal RNA
Rfam family: Bacterial small subunit ribosomal RNA
Source: RNAcentral
GACGUAGGGUCCAAGCGUUGUCCGGAAUUAUUGGGCGUAAAGAGCUCGUAGGCGGUUUGUUGCGUCGGCUGUGAAAUCCCGAGGCUCAACCUCGGGUCUGCAGUCGAUACGAGCAGACUAGAGUGUUGCAGGGGAGACUGGAAUUCCUGGUGUAGCGGUGAAAUGCGCAGAUAUCAGGAGGAACACCGGUGGCGAAGGCGGGUCUCUGGGCAACAACUGACGCUGAGGAGCGAAAGCGUGGGGAGCGAACAGG